RNAcentral lists this ribosomal RNA (239 nucleotides) under Phycisphaerales bacterium. RNAcentral describes it as "partial 16S ribosomal RNA". It matches the Rfam family "Bacterial small subunit ribosomal RNA", at positions 1 to 265 of the family's 1533-position model. The record is from RNAcentral. Lineage: Bacteria; Pseudomonadati; Planctomycetota; Phycisphaerae; Phycisphaerales.
UCAAUUGAAGAGUUUGAUCCUGGCUCAGAUUGAACGCUGGCGGCAUGGCUAAAACAUGCAAGUCGAACGAACCCGCAAGGGUGAGUGGCGAAAGGGCGAGUAAUACGAUCGAAUGUACCCCGAGGUGGGGGAUAGGUCGGGGAAACCCGGCAUAAUACCUCAUGAGCUCGAGAGAGGAAAGGCUUCGGCCGCCUUGGGAGCAGCGAUCGUCCUAUCAGGUAGUUGGCGGGGUAAUGGCC